UCUCAACCGAAUUAUAUUGAUUGCUCCGACUAAAGUUAUAUCCAAGGGGUGACAUAUUGUCACUGUCACAAGAUGACAGCACUGUGAUGUUCUUUUCCUAAGGUGCCUGUAAUUUAACAAGAGGAUGUGAACGUUACGGGGGAAAACAAGACUGUCAUUUUUAAAUGAAGUCAUAGUUAGUAAUGUGUAUUGGGAUCAAUGGGAAGCCGUGCAUUUAUGCUGAAUUCUGUUCAGCGGUGAACCAUCUGCAUCAGUUGGGGUAACAAUGGAACCAAUCCUGGGAACAACAGGAUCAAGGUGGGAAUAUAGGACCAUCCAUCGCAAGCCACCAUGCAUACACACAUCCACAAUGAGGGGUAAUUUACUGUCACCAAUGCACCAAUAUGUUUUUGGUAAGUGGGAGGAAAUCUGAGAACCCAGUGCAAGAACAAACCCACACAGAAACAUGCAGAGAAAUUUCACACAGAGAGUAGCUCAAGUUCAGGAUUGACUGGGAGCCCUGGAGCAUACAGCUCUGUUAUGAUAAAAUAUUGUUUUUUUUUUUCUCUAUGUAAUGUAAUUUGGGGACGCCUACUAGCCUAUUAGGGAGGUAAGUAAUGUUACUAGGGAAUUCCAAAAAGACAGUUAUUUUGUUUGUGAGUGAGUACAUUUCCCGGCACUUAAUUCUCUAUGUGGACAAAUGAAAGUUGAAAGGAAAUAGUGUCAAAUAUACUUUUGCAAUAUCACACAAGCAAGAGUGCUGUUAUUUGGCAAUCACAGCCAUGUCAAUAUUCAGUUCUACAGCAUGACUCCGAGCACAGUAUUGCUAUUUUAUAAAUAAAAAAUUAAUAUAGAGUAAAUGACAUUUCAGAUACAAGAUGGCUAUAUACAAUAUUUUGUUUAUUUUUGCUCCAUUAAUGGAAAUUGAUCCUGAGGAAGCCACACUCACUGACAGACCAUCAGCUAGCUGGCUUGCUU
Long non-coding RNA from Ictalurus furcatus (blue catfish), 957 nucleotides. RefSeq lists it as uncharacterized. Lineage: Eukaryota; Metazoa; Chordata; Actinopteri; Siluriformes; Ictaluridae. The record is from RefSeq and is a predicted model, not a curated record. The transcript has 4 exons.